Molecule: long non-coding RNA, 5062 nt
Filed under: Homo sapiens (human)
Lineage: Eukaryota; Metazoa; Chordata; Mammalia; Primates; Hominidae
Description: HSALNT0137355
Source: RNAcentral
AGACGCUGUCACAAAACAAAACGAAACAAAAAAACAGAGUUUAUGUUACCCAGGUUGCUCCUACUUGGCACGAUGGAAUUGUUAGCCUUGUGAGGCUCCACUGUUCCCUGAUCCAGCCUCCUUCAUGGGGUCUGAGCAGCUGUCUCCCUGUUCCAGCCCCUCUGCCAGUUCCCUUGCCCUACAGCCCUGGCUGUGUCCACCACCUCACUCAUCUAGAUCUCCGUUUUCUCCUUCGUACAGUAACAUGGAGAGGGACAGUUUAUUGCUAAUGUCCCUCUCAGAAGAACCCAGAAACUUGGGUCCUGAUGUGAUCACAUACGCUCAACAGUUUUGAGUCACUCACUCUAUGAAACAAUCACAAACCAGUAUGUUCAACAGUGUUUUAAGUUCUGAGAAAUGUUAUGUGAUGCAACUUACUGCAAAGAAGCAAAAGUGGUUCCUGCCAUCCUAGAUAUUAAAAGUUCAUUUUCAUAUGCACAGAAUGAGUCUUAGGAUAUGUUUUAUGAACCUGGGUUUGUGUUUUGCUUUUUCCAUUUACUGGAUGUGUGCCUUGGAGAGGAAACUUAAUCCUCAGCUUCCUCAUCAGUAAGAUGGAUUUUAAUUUACUUCUAAAGUUCUUGUGAGAAUAAAGUGAGAUAAUGUGACACAGUGCUUAGCAUAGUGUCCAUCUAAGACAUGCUAAUAGUUGUUUCAUUAAUGUCACAUGAAAAGAACAUUCAACUAGUAAAAGACUAUCAUAAUGUUUAUCCUCACAACUUUGGAUGGUAUGUCGGUGUGAACACGGCCACAUUCGAUUCUGUCAGCCUCUGCCAUUCUGAAAGUUUAGUGAGGCUUUUUCUGGAGAUUCCUUCCAUUUAGAAAAGAGCCCUUCAUUUCCUUCUCCAAUUAACACUCUCUAAGGUAGACAGAGCAUAAAAUGCUGUUCCGUUAGGUGUUUGGCCCCCAUUAGGGCCUCACUUGCUGUCUUACUUGCCCACGAUAUGAACCCAGUCUUCUCUGAAUUCUCAUAUUCUUCACACAUCAUCCUAAUGCUUCAAAAACAGUUAUCCAUGCUGUCCCAGAGCCCUGAGGCCAAGGGCUCACAUCCGUUUGAUGGCCUCCCCCCAUUUUCCAGGUGAGGGAAUGGCGGCACACUUUGAGGCAGGUGAGUCCCAGGUAUUAGAGGAAGGGGUUCUAAAAGGUAGCCGAGGCCCAUCUCCUUCUGGCUUUUCCUUUUCCAGAGUUUCUGCCAAAGCAAGGGGACAGGACCUGAACACACAGGAGAAACCCUCACGAAGGUGACCUGUGCAAAGCCACACACACAGCCACCCAGCCUGGGGUCUUUCUAGCUCAGCUCUUGUUCAGCACUGUAGAAAGUGACAUAAGCCGAGUUAUUUUACAGGGCUAAGUGGACAAGUCAGGUUUGGUGUUUUCAAAAUGCUGAUGAGACUAGCCAUCUCUUCUGACUGAGUUAGAAAUCUACUCGGUUUAUCUGGAGCAUCCUUACCCUCUUUACUACUUCUGGUCAGAACAUGCCAGCUACACCUGUAACGAUGGGAGAACGCAGUGAUGCUGACUCACCAAAUAGUCAAAAUGUGUUUCCUGAUUGUUGAAUUGUGGCCAUUUUUCUCCAUCCUUCUAAAAGUCCUUGAUCAAAACAGACAGGAUGCGAUUUUAAAAUAUGGCACACUCAAAACUGAAAGCACACAAUUCGAAUGUCCUUGUCUCUUUGAACUCAGUGGGCUGUGUGUUACUCACAGUGGAAGAGCUGAAGUCUUUUUCUAACUUUAUGGGCUCCCAUUUAGGUACAAAUGAAAUCGCUGAAGUUUUGACUGCUUGAGGACUGUUUUUUCACACAGGCAUCGGUUAAAAAAAUCAAAAUGAAUGUAAGGACCCUUCUGUGUUUAAGCAUAACACACUUAGUUUGCCUCUUCUUGUCUUCAACUGGGCUGUAGGGAGGGCAUGGCUUCCUCAAAACAUUUCGUAUCAGAGUUGAGUUUCAAGUUCCACUCUGCAAGUUCCUUUCUUUGGGAUCUUAGUUAAGGUGCAUAAUCUCCAUGGAACUAAGUUUCUUCACCUCUAAAAUGGGGACAAUAACUAUCACUUUGGGUUUGUUGUGGCAACAUUUAUAGUUUAGCACAGGACGGGAACGUGGAAAAAAAAAGUCAGUACAUACUAAUUAAGCACCUAUUAUACACCCUGGGCUGCUGUGUUUGUUGCUUGCUGCCCAACUCUGGGACCACAGUUUGCAUCACAGUCAUUAGAGAUUUGUAUGUUUAUUAGGAUGUUUUCUCUUUUUUUUGGCAGGGAAUAAAAUGUUUUGAGGAAGGCACACCUUUUUAAAAUUCACACAAAAGGACCAUUUAGGCUAGAAAAGGCUGGGUCAUGGCCAUGACAAAAAAUAUAAUCUAAUGGGGAAAGGCAACAUAGAAACUCAAAAAAAAAAAAAUUGCACUGAUUGAUGACUGUGUUGAGUAUUGAAACAGCAAGUGUCUGUGUGGUCACGGAGGGAGGAGAAAGCAUUCCUUCCAGUGAAGAGCUACUGAAACUCAGCAGCAAUGGUAGUUUUAAGACAUGUCCACAAGUUCCUUGAUAUUCCUCCCUUUAAAAUAUGGGCCUCACUCUGCUCCCUGGGAGGGGGAGCUAUAUUUAGUGACCCAUUUUGAGUGAACUGAAUGUGAUGGACAGCCAUCACACACAUUGAAUGUGUGUGACCCAGGACACUGAACUGUAUGAGGAAUUGUGGCAUCCUCCUUGCUCCCUCUCCUUGGUCACUCCUUCUAGGGGAAACCAGAUCCUAUGUUAUAAGGACUCUCAGGCAGCCCCUGGGAGAGGCCCAUGCUGUAGAGAAUUGAAGCCUCUUGCUAAUACCUUGUGAGCCAUCUUGGAAGUGGUCAAGCCCCAGCCGCCAUCUUGUCUGCAGCCUCGUGAAAUACCCUGAGCCAACACCACUUGGCUAAGCCACUCUAGCAUUCCUGAUCCACAGGAACUACGAUAAUAAUUGUUUAUUGUUUUAAGUUGUUGAGUUUUGGAACAAUUUGUUACACAACAGAUCACAAAUGCAGCGGUGAAAAGUUUCCAGAGGAAAUUUCCCUUCGGUUGGAGCCUGGGGGCCUGGGCUUGGUGACCGAGAUCUGAGAGUCAUAUGCCCAACUUUCUCUGUUAUAGGAAGUUAGGAUUUAGCCUAUCAGCAACCAAUUCAAGCCAGAGGAUGUCUUUACACAGGGGAGUGACAUGACCAGAGUUGAUGAUGGUAUUUGUGGCGUGAAAUGGAAUGAGGAAGAGGCCGGUUGGGGAGUGAGGGAGACUUCCAGUUAGGAACUUCUAGAAUCAACAGUUCAGGUAAGAGAUGAUGAGAAUAUGAACUAAGGCAAUGGCAGAGGGGUUGCAUAUGGGAGGACUGUCUUAAGAUUUGGUGGUUUUCAGAAAGAAACAGGUAGUUUCUAAGGCCAUCUAGUGCAAUCAUGUUUCACUCUGCAUUGUGUAGGAAAAAAAAUGUGAAUUAUAUGGUAAUACCAUAUUUAUACCAAUAAUAUCAUCACACACACACACACACGAUACUUCCACGAGCUUAGAAGAAUGAGCCCAUCACAACGAGUACUUCACAAGAAAUGCCACACUCUAAGGAUUUAAUAUUAAGCAUUUGAAAUAGUUCUUUAUAGAAAUGCUAGUUCAAGAAUAAAAAGAAAAUAAAGAGCGCCCAUCUUCCAUUGGAACCAAAAGCCUCACAUCUGUCUGUUGUACAAGUAAGACCACAGAGGAUUCGACUGAAUUAUAGUGGGGUGAUUUAUAGGCCUGUCUGAAUACAGAUCGCACACAGUAUUGAAAUACUGGAAGAUUCAAACACUGUCUAUGACUCAAAUAGCACAAGCAGUGAUAGUAAAUUAGCUAAGUGCUCAUCUCUCCAGACAAGAGUUUCCUUAGGAAAAUAAUAUCUAUUUUUGGUAUUUCAGUAGCUCUAGAAAGAGAUGAAUACUACUAAAAGAGAUGAAUAUGUCAAUGCUAAGUCAUGAAUGUUUUAAAAAGCCACAUUUCUACACAAAUGGAAGGAAAAUUUUGCUUUUUUUUUUUUUUUUUUUUUAGAAAACUUAUUUUUAUUCUAUUAUAUUGAACACAUUGUAUCACCCCCACUCAUAGCUGCAUUCCAAAACAGUUCUUCUGGGAAGCAGGGUUUUAGUUUUACUGAACAUGAAUAAAAAAUCCAGGCAGAAUUCAAAACCAGGGGAAAGAGUCAAGGAAGCAAAUUUGCUUUUCAGAAGCAAGAUAUUUAUAAACAGUAAUAGCUGAGAAUCAUAUAAUUUGUUUCUGAAAAUUACCUUUUAAAUAGGGCUUCAUUUUACAUUUGCAUAGUAUAUGGAAUUUUGUAAGAAGCAUUAAAUUUCAAAUAACUUGAUGCAAUAAAUAAUCAUGGAAUACUCAUUGUCCAAAUAUAACAGAUAGAGCAUGUCCACUAAGAGUAAUGUUAUUUCUCUUAAAAUAAAGGGGAAAAUCUAAGUUCCUUGAGGCAGAGACUGUGUUGUUGACUAUGGCAGUCCCGUGCCUACCAUGAUACCUGAAAUGAGUCACUCAAACAGUGACAUUUUGAAGAGGAAUGAAGGAAGGAGUGGAGGAGCGAGUGUGUGAACACAUGCCAUGGUAGGGAUGUUGGGCUGGUACAAAUAAAAACGAAGCCAUACAUUUCAAAGGUGUGCCUCCAAGGUGAGAACUCAAAAUAUUUAUAACUGAAGAGUUGUGUGGAAGAUGUAAAAAAUCCUGAUGUUUAAGAAAAGACAAAAAUAACACAAGUGUGAACUGAGAUGCUGCAGCACAUUUUAGGAACCUUGAUGUAAUCAGUUUAGCAAAAGCACAUUGCUAGAGCCACAAUUAAGAACACUGGUGUUUAGAGUAAUUGGAAUAUGGUGAAAAUAACUUAAUGAAAUAAUGUUUCUUCAAGCCUAUCAAAAAUCUGCUUCUGUUUCAUAGUCCAAAGUUAAACUUUUGUGCAAUACAGGACAAAGAGAAACCACCACCAUUAGUGCCUGCACCACAGCAAUUUAUUAGCGUAACUUUUUCUUUUUUUCUUUAAAGAUUUCAUAACAACUGA